GACGAACGCUGGCGGCGUGCUUAACACAUGCAAGUCGAACGGUGAACCUCUUCGGAGGGGGUCAGUGGCGAACGGGUGAGUAACACGUGGGCAACCUGCCCCCGGCUCUGGGAUAACUCCAAGAAAUUGGGGCUAAUACCGGAUGUUCACCGCUUCCCGCAUGGGUGGUGGUGGAAAGGGUUCCCGGCUGGGGAUGGGCCCGCGGCCUAUCAGCUUGUUGGUGGGGUAGUGGCCUACCAAGGCGACGACGGGUAGCCGGCCUGGGAGGGUGACCGGCCACACUGGGACUGAGACACGGCCCAGACUCCUACGGGAGGCAGCAGUGGGGAAUAUUGCGCAAUGGGCGGAAGCCUGACGCAGCGACGCCGCGUGGGGGAUGACGGCCCUCGGGUUGUAAACCUCUUCCAGCAGGGACGAAGCGCAAGUGACGGUACCUGCAGAAGAAGCACCGGCCAACUACGUG
This 463-nucleotide ribosomal RNA is filed under the name uncultured bacterium. Its description in RNAcentral is "partial 16S ribosomal RNA". It matches the Rfam family "Bacterial small subunit ribosomal RNA", at positions 28 to 507 of the family's 1533-position model. The record is from RNAcentral.